Molecule: transfer RNA, 72 nt
Organism: Puccinia sorghi
Lineage: Eukaryota; Fungi; Basidiomycota; Pucciniomycetes; Pucciniales; Pucciniaceae
Rfam family: tRNA
About the family: Transfer RNA (tRNA) molecules are approximately 80 nucleotides in length. Their secondary structure includes four short double-helical elements and three loops (D, anti-codon, and T loops).
Source: Rfam
GUGUCCUUAGUACAGUGGUUAGCACACUUGACAUGCUCAUAAGAGAUGUGGGUUUGAUUCCCACAGGACCCA